RNAcentral lists this ribosomal RNA (480 nucleotides) under uncultured bacterium. RNAcentral's name for it is "bacterial SSU rRNA". It matches the Rfam family "Bacterial small subunit ribosomal RNA", at positions 29 to 506 of the family's 1533-position model. The record is from RNAcentral.
AUGAACGCUAGCGGCAGGCCUAAUACAUGCAAGUCGAACGAUAUUAAGGGGCUUGCUCCUUAAGAAAGUGGCGCACGGGUGCGUAACGCGUAUGCAACCUACCUUAAUCAGGGGGAUAGCCCGAAGAAAUUCGGAUUAACACCGCAUAAAAACACAGAAUAGCAUUAUUCAAUGUUCAAAUAUUUAUAGGAUUAAGAUGGGCAUGCGUGUCAUUAGCUAGUUGGCGGGGUAACGGCCCACCAAGGCGACGAUGACUAGGGGAUCUGAGAGGAUGACCCCCCACACUGGUACUGAGACACGGACCAGACUCCUACGGGAGGCAGCAGUAAGGAAUAUUGGUCAAUGGAGGCAACUCUGAACCAGCCAUGCCGCGUGCAGGAAGACGGCCCUAUGGGUUGUAAACUGCUUUUAUCUGGGAAUAAACCUAAUUACGUGUAAUUAGCUGAAUGUACCAGAAGAAUAAGGAUCGGCUAACUCCGU